CUAAGGUAGCAUAAUCAUUUGCUACUUAAUUGGUAGCUAGUAUAAAUGGCUUGACGAGACAUUGACUAUCCUAUACAAACGAAUAAACUUGAGCUAAAAGUUAAAACCCUUUUAUUCCCUAGAGGGACGACAAGACCCUAGGAUCUAGUAAAUAAAAUAUGCAUGUCACUGGGGCGGUGUUAUCUACACUCAAAUAAUACUAUCACAUAUUGAAUGGCUCUCACUAACUUAAAAAAACUCAAACAGGUACCCUAGGGAUAACAGCGCAAUCUUAUCCAUAGAGCUCCUAUCGACGGAAAGGAUUACGACCUCGAUGUUGAAUUGAAAAU
This 329-nucleotide ribosomal RNA is filed under the name Alloniscus oahuensis. RNAcentral's name for it is "partial large subunit ribosomal RNA". It matches the Rfam family "Archaeal large subunit ribosomal RNA", at positions 2028 to 2614 of the family's 2987-position model. Lineage: Eukaryota; Metazoa; Arthropoda; Malacostraca; Isopoda; Alloniscidae. The record is from RNAcentral.